This 253-nucleotide ribosomal RNA is filed under the name uncultured bacterium. Its description in RNAcentral is "partial 16S ribosomal RNA". It matches the Rfam family "Bacterial small subunit ribosomal RNA", at positions 524 to 776 of the family's 1533-position model. The record is from RNAcentral.
UACAGAGGGUGCGAGCGUUAAUCGGAAUUACUGGGCGUAAAGCGUGCGCAGGCGGUUAUGCAAGACAGAUGUGAAAUCCCCGGGCUCAACCUGGGAACUGCAUUUGUGACUGCAUGGCUAGAGUGCGGCAGAGGGGGAUGGAAUUCCGCGUGUAGCAGUGAAAUGCGUAGAUAUGCGGAGGAACACCGAUGGCGAAGGCAGUCCCCUGGGCCUGCACUGACGCUCAUGCACGAAAGCGUGGGGAGCAAACAGG